Molecule: ribosomal RNA, 200 nt
Filed under: Salmonella enterica subsp. enterica serovar Brancaster
Lineage: Bacteria; Pseudomonadati; Pseudomonadota; Gammaproteobacteria; Enterobacterales; Enterobacteriaceae
Description: partial 23S ribosomal RNA
Rfam family: Bacterial large subunit ribosomal RNA
Source: RNAcentral
CCAUCAUUUAAAGAAAGCGUAAUAGCUCACUGGUCGAGUCGGCCUGCGCGGAAGAUGUAACGGGGCUAAACCAUGCACCGAAGCUGCGGCAGCGACGCUGAUGCGUUGUUGGGUAGGGGAGCGUUCUGUAAGCCUGUGAAGGUGGCCUGUGAGGGUUGCUGGAGGUAUCAGAAGUGCGAAUGCUGACAUAAGUAACGAUA